AUGAAGAUACCUCUUAAGAAUAUAAUCUUUGCAUGGUAUCUUCAUCGCGGAGUCAUUCUUACUAAAGAUAACCUUAUUAAGAGGAAUUCACAUGGAAGUACGCAAUGUGUAUUUUGUCCGCACGAUGAGACAAUAAAACAUUUGUUCUUCCAAUGUAAAUUGGCUCGUUCUAUAUGGUCAGUCAUCCAAAUAGCUUCUGGCUUGUAUCCUCCUUGUGGUUGUCAGGACCCCGAUUCUAAGUCACACCGAUCUAGCCUGUAA
Molecule: ribosomal RNA, 261 nt
Filed under: Triticum aestivum (bread wheat)
Lineage: Eukaryota; Viridiplantae; Streptophyta; Magnoliopsida; Poales; Poaceae
Description: partial small subunit ribosomal RNA
Source: RNAcentral